CCUACGGGUGGCUGCAGUGGGGAAUAUUGGGCAAUGGACGCAAGUCUGACCCAGCAACGCCGCGUGAAGGAAGACGGCCUUCGGGUUGUAAACUUCUUUUAAGGGGGAAGAGCAGAAGACGGUACCUCUUGAAUAAGCCAUGGCUAACUACGUGCCAGCAGCCGCGGUAAUACGUAGGUGGCAAGCGUUGUCCGGAUUUACUGGGUGUAAAGGGCGUGCAGCCGGGGAGACAAGUCAUAUGUGAAAUCUACGGGCUCAACCCGUGAACUGCAUUUGACACUGGUUGCCUUGAGUGUCGGAGAGGUAAGCGGAAUUCCUGGUGUAGCUGUGAAAUGCGUAGAUAUCAGGAAGAACACCAGUGGCGAAGGCAGAUUACUGGACGAUAACUGACGGUGAGGCGCGAAAGCGUGGGGAGCAAACAGGAUUAGAUACCCGAGUAGUC
This 442-nucleotide ribosomal RNA is filed under the name uncultured bacterium. RNAcentral describes it as "partial 16S ribosomal RNA". It matches the Rfam family "Bacterial small subunit ribosomal RNA", at positions 338 to 795 of the family's 1533-position model. The record is from RNAcentral.